AUUGAACGCUGGCGGCAGGCCUAACACAUGCAAGUCGAACGGCAGCGGGGGAUAGCUUGCUAUCCUGCCGGCGAGUGGCGGACGGGUGAGUAAUGCAUGGGGAGUUGCCCAGUCGAGGGGGAUAACAACUGGAAACGGUAGCUAAUACCGCAUAACGUCGCAAGACCAAAGUGGGGGACCUUCGGGCCUCACACCAUCGGAUGUGCCCAGAUGGGAUUAGCUAGUAGGUGGGGUAAUGGCUCACCUAGGCGACGAUCCCUAGCUGGGCUGAGAGGAUGACCAGCCACACUGGAACUGAUACACGGUCCAGACUCCUACGGGAGGCAGCAGUGGGGAAUAUUGCACAAUGGGCGCAAGCCUGAUGCAGCCAUGCCGCGUGUAUGAAGAAGGCCUUCGGGUUGUAAAGUACUUUCAGCGGGGAGGAAGGCGGUGAAGUUAAUAGCUUCACCGAUUGACGUUACCCGCAGAAGAAGCACCGGCUAACUCCGUGCCAGCAGCCGCCGUAA
Molecule: ribosomal RNA, 506 nt
Filed under: uncultured bacterium
Lineage: Bacteria
Description: partial 16S ribosomal RNA
Rfam family: Bacterial small subunit ribosomal RNA
Source: RNAcentral